AACCCUCGCUGUUAGUUGCUACCAGGUUUGGCUGGGCACUCUAACAGGACCGCCGGUGGUAAGCCGGAGGAAGGUGGGGAUGACGUCAAGUCCUCAUGGCCCUUACAGGGUGGGCUACACACGUGCUACAAUGGCGACUACAGAGGGCUGCAAUCCCGCGAGGGGGAGCCAAUCCCUAAAAGUCGUCUCAGUUCGGAUUGCACUCUGCAACUCGAGUGCAUGAAGUUGGAAUCGCUAGUAAUCGCGGAUCAGCAUGCCGCGGUGAAUACGUUCCCGGGCCUU
This 282-nucleotide ribosomal RNA is filed under the name uncultured Caulobacteraceae bacterium. RNAcentral describes it as "partial 16S ribosomal RNA". It matches the Rfam family "Bacterial small subunit ribosomal RNA", at positions 1100 to 1382 of the family's 1533-position model. The record is from RNAcentral. Lineage: Bacteria; Pseudomonadati; Pseudomonadota; Alphaproteobacteria; Caulobacterales; Caulobacteraceae.